Molecule: ribosomal RNA, 468 nt
Filed under: uncultured bacterium
Lineage: Bacteria
Description: partial 16S ribosomal RNA
Rfam family: Bacterial small subunit ribosomal RNA
Source: RNAcentral
GACGAACGCUGGCGGCGUGCUUAACACAUGCAAGUCGAACGGAAAGGCCCUGCUUUUGUGGGGUGCUCGAGUGGCGAACGGGUGAGUAACACGUGAGUAACCUGCCCUUGACUUUGGGAUAACUUCAGGAAACUGGGGCUAAUACCGGAUAGGAGCUCCUGCUGCAUGGUGGGGGUUGGAAAGUUUCGGCGGUUGGGGAUGGACUCGCGGCUUAUCAGCUUGUUGGGGGGGUAGUGGCUUACCAAGGCUUUGACGGGUAGCCGGCCUGAGAGGGUGACCGGCCACAUUGGGACUGAGAUACGGCCCAGACUCCUACGGGAGGCAGCAGUGGGGAAUAUUGCACAAUGGGCGGAAGCCUGAUGCAGCAACGCCGCGUGCGGGAUGGCGGCCUUCGGGUUGUAAACCGCUUUCGCCUGUGACGAAGCGUGAGUGACGGUAAUGGGUAAAGAAGCACCGGCUAACUACGUG